Molecule: ribosomal RNA, 1343 nt
Filed under: uncultured bacterium
Lineage: Bacteria
Description: 16S ribosomal RNA
Rfam family: Bacterial small subunit ribosomal RNA
Source: RNAcentral
GACGAACGCUGGCGGCGUGCUUAACACAUGCAAGUCGAACGGAAAGGCCCUGCUUUUGUGGGGUGCUCGAGUGGCGAACGGGUGAGUAACACGUGAGUAACCUGCCCUUGACUUUGGGAUAACUUCAGGAAACUGGGGCUAAUACCGGAUAGGAGCUCCUGCUGCAUGGUGGGGGUUGGAAAGUUUCGGCGGUUGGGGAUGGACUCGCGGCUUAUCAGCUUGUUGGUGGGGUAGUGGCUUACCAAGGCUUUGACGGGUAGCCGGCCUGAGAGGGUGACCGGCCACAUUGGGACUGAGAUACGGCCCAGACUCCUACGGGAGGCAGCAGUGGGGAAUAUUGCACAAUGGGCGGAAGCCUGAUGCAGCAACGCCGCGUGCGGGAUGACGGCCUUCGGGUUGUAAACCGCUUUCGCCUGUGACGAAGCGUGAGUGACGGUAAUGGGUAAAGAAGCACCGGCUAACUACGUGCCAGCAGCCGCGGUGAUACGUAGGGUGCGAGCGUUGUCCGGAUUUAUUGGGCGUAAAGGGCUCGUAGGUGGUUGAUCGCGUCGGAAGUGUAAUCUUGGGGCUUAACCCUGAGCGUGCUUUCGAUACGGGUUGACUUGAGGAAGGUAGGGGAGAAUGGAAUUCCUGGUGGAGCGGUGGAAUGCGCAGAUAUCAGGAGGAACACCAGUGGCGAAGGCGGUUCUCUGGGCCUUUCCUGACGCUGAGGAGCGAAAGCGUGGGGAGCGAACAGGCUUAGAUACCCUGGUAGUCCACGCUGUAAACGGUGGGUACUAGGUGUGGGGUCCAUUCCACGGGUUCCGUGCCGUAGCUAACGCUUUAAGUACCCCGCCUGGGGAGUACGGCCGCAAGGCUAAAACUCAAAGGAAUUGACGGGACCCCGCACAAGCGGCGGAGCAUGCGGAUUAAUUCGAUGCAACGCGUAGAACCUUACCUGGGUUUGACAUGGAUCGGGAGCGCUCAGAGAUGGGUGUGCCUCUUUUGGGGUCGGUUCACAGGUGGUGCAUGGCUGUCGUCAGCUCGUGUCGUGAGAUGUUGGGUUAAGUCCCGCAACGAGCGCAACCCUUGUUCACUGUUGCCAGCACGUUAUGGUGGGGACUCAGUGGAGACCGCCGGGGUCAACUCGGAGGAAGGUGGGGAUGACGUCAAGUCAUCAUGCCCCUUAUGUCCAGGGCUUCACGCAUGCUACAAUGGCUGGUACAGAGAGUGGCGAGCCUGUGAGGGUGAGCGAAUCUCGGAAAGCCGGUCUCAGUUCGGAUUGGGGUCUGCAACUCGACCUCAUGAAGUCGGAGUCGCUAGUAAUCGCAGAUCAGCAACGCUGCGGUGAAUACGUUCCCGGG